CGGAGGUAGGGUCCAGCGGC
Molecule: small nuclear RNA, 20 nt
Filed under: Arabidopsis thaliana (thale cress)
Lineage: Eukaryota; Viridiplantae; Streptophyta; Magnoliopsida; Brassicales; Brassicaceae
Description: snRNA_07883
Source: RNAcentral